UGCACAUUCCAUUUUGGGAAGGGAAUUUUCCUUUCAUCCCGUGUACACACCUAUAAAAAGCUAAAUAUACACCUAGAGAUCACACCAUAGAUCAGCCGCAUAACACCACAAUCAACCGCAAGAGUUUGAUUUUCAGCUAGACCUAAAAAACACCUCAAGGACCUGAUUAAAGAAAAAGCCUUUCUUCUUCAUGCGAAAACCCACCAUGGAAGAGCCAUAAGUAUGCAGCACGUGAACCUUACCUUCAUAGCAUGACUAGUUUGUGAAUUUGGAUUCUACAUGUGCAUUGCCUUUUGCCAUCUAUAUUAGAUCCAUAUUGUUUCAAUUCUAGUCAAAAUAUUUAAUUUUUGUUCGCUUUCUUAAUGGGGUUUUAAUGCUCCCAGGUAAUUAUGGGAUUUACUUUGUCUUGAACUGGUUUUAAAAAGAAGUCAUUUUCAAUUUGCUUUCGUUCAAUGUCUUAAAGUAAUAAAACAGUACUGUAAGGAGUCUUUAUUGUUAAAUGGUCCAAUCUUUUGUUUUGUCUUCUUUAUCUUUUUCUACAUAUACUUGAAAUAAUUUAAUGCUUUAUUGAGACAUGAUUUGCGUACUCUGCUUGGUUGGGUUUAUUUGUGCAAAAAUUGUUUAAACAUGGAGAAUGCUAGAUGAAAUGUUGGCAUUGUCCUUUAAUUUGCUUCAGUAUGACAAACAUAAUUCUUGGGAUCGUAAAUACCACGCGGCUGGUUCGUUUAAUGUUUUGGCUUGUCGAUUAACACCGAGUCUCUUAAAUCAAGUUCAUGAUCCGGUAUUAGAUAACCGUAGACAAACAUUAGCACAUAUCAAGCGUUAAACAAACAGAGUCCCUGUUUAAAAUUGUGUUGAUCAUGUGGAUAGACUCGUUCCUUGGUUAAAUGCAUAUACUUAAAGAAAAGUCAUGUGGAUCAUCCCGCUCAUAAUAAUUGUGUUGACCAUGUGGACAGACCCGUUCCUUGAUUAAAUGCAUAUAAUUAAAGAAAAGUCAUGUGGGUCAUCCCGCUCCUUGACACUCUAAUAGUAUAAUUAAUGAAAGACCUUAUGUGCAUACAUGUUCUUAAGUUUAAACAAUUAUAACACGUUUUAUCCAAGAAUUAAUUAUAACCAAAUAUAAGUCAAUAAAAGAUCGUGCUAAAAUCACGGGACUCGGGGAAUGCCUAACACCUUCUCCCCGAUCAACAGAAUUCCUUACCCCGUCUUUUGUUUUUGCGGACCAAAAUGAAGAGUCAUUUACUUUUGAUUAGGAAUUCAAUAAGGUGACUUGGAACGCCAAAACGCAAUUUCAAGAGGCGACUCUGUAAAUAAAUAAUCUUUUUUCAAAAUAUUCACUUCAACUGGAAAACCCCUUAUAAAUAAAUAAAGACUCAUGUGCAUUUAUUGCGCGGGACCCAAAAAGGGGUAUGACACCAUCUACAAAGAAAUUUUGUAGAAUGCAACCACCGCAUGAUAUCUUCAAUUGUUGCUUGCUCUGUUUGCAGAUUUUACAAGCAAUCAUGCAAUGGUUGCAUUCUGCAGAAUUUCUUUGUAGAUGAUAACAUUUCUGAUUUGUCCUUGGUGAAAAGUCAAUUCGAAGGUGUCUCUCAACUAAAAGAAAAUGUUCAGUCGCUGAUGGAUGAUGAAGAACGCAUUGCUUAUAUAGGAUAUUUGAUAUUGGUUGCCAAAAUGAAAGAGGGAUUUGAUUGUCUCAAUCAAGUUGAUACAAGAACCCCUCGGUACUGGAAAACUUAUAACAGGCCUCUCUUGAAGCCUCUAGAAGAAGAUCACAAUGACGCUUCAUAUGGCGGGCCUUGGCUUUGAGGCCAUCAUAGAAAGUGCCAAGAUCUUCAACCAGUUCACUUACUUCCUUAAAGACGCCACCCAAAUCGUCAAUAGAACGAGUAUUAAGAUUUCCCUUAAACAGCACAAGACUUCUACUUCCUAGUGGACGAUGCAGAUUUCUGGUGCUGUUUAAGGGAAACCUUAAUACUAGUUCUUCUUGACGAUUUGGGUGGCGUCUUUAAGGAAGUGUACUGGUUGAAGAUGUUGGCACUUUCUAUGAUGGCCUCAAAGCCAAGGCCCGCCAUAUGAAGCGUCAUUGUGAUCUUCUAGAGGCUCCAAGAGAGGCCUGUUAUAAGUUUUCCGGUACUGAGUGGAUUUUGUAUCAACCUGAUGACCUCAGAACUUCUAUGUCCCUUCCGGAUCGACGCAGGGCCCAAACUAGAGUAAGAGAAGUGAUGGAGUUCAGUUUGAGGUGUCAACAAGUAGAAGCAGCUUCGGUUCUCCUCCAAACAGCACAUGUUCCAAGGUUAUGUUAUGGUGACCUUGGAGAGCAAGGGGGCUGGUGUCAAUGUUUGACUUGGUGUUUGUUUAUGCUUUCUCUUUUGGAUCUAAGGAUGUACUUAACUUGUUAGUUUUUCUACUAUGUUCUGUUUUGGAUUAAAACUCAACUUGUUAGUUUUUUCUACUGUGUUCUGUUUUGGAACAUUAAUGUUUGAGAAUGUGUGUUCUGUUUUGGAUAAACUCUACUGUGUUUUGAAGACGAUGAGAAAUUGGAAGUGAAAAAAAAGAUAAUUAAAGCAAAAUCAUUUGGUGAUUU
Lycium barbarum (goji berry) is the source of this 2584-nucleotide long non-coding RNA. RefSeq lists it as uncharacterized. The transcript has 2 exons. The record is from RefSeq and is a predicted model, not a curated record. NCBI's taxonomy places the organism in Eukaryota, Viridiplantae, Streptophyta, Magnoliopsida, Solanales, Solanaceae.